This 385-nucleotide ribosomal RNA is filed under the name uncultured bacterium. RNAcentral's name for it is "bacterial SSU rRNA". It matches the Rfam family "Bacterial small subunit ribosomal RNA", at positions 42 to 455 of the family's 1533-position model. The record is from RNAcentral.
UCAGGCCUAACACAUGCAAGUCGAACGGGUGUAGCAAUACAUCAGUGGCAGACGGGUGAGUAACACGUGGGAACCUUCCUAGGGGUACGGAACAGCUCAGGGAAACUUGAGCUAAUACCGUAUACGUCCGUGAGGAGAAAGAUUUAUCGCCCUUAGACGGGCCCGCGUCGGAUUAGCUAGUUGGUGGGGUAACGGCCUACCAAGGCGACGAUCCGUAGCUGAUCUUAGAGGAUGAUCAGCCACACUGGGACUGAGACACGGCCCAGACUCCUACGGGAGGCAGCAGUGGGGAAUCUUGGACAAUGGGCGCAAGCCUGAUCCAGCCAUGCCGCGUGAGGAAGAAGGUCUUCGGAUUGUAAAGCUCUUUGCCAGGGACGAUAAUGAC